Molecule: non-coding RNA, 31 nt
Filed under: Mus musculus (house mouse)
Lineage: Eukaryota; Metazoa; Chordata; Mammalia; Rodentia; Muridae
Source: RNAcentral
UGCUUGUCAAUAACAGGAUGUAUACAGAAGC